RNAcentral lists this ribosomal RNA (492 nucleotides) under uncultured bacterium. RNAcentral describes it as "partial 16S ribosomal RNA". It matches the Rfam family "Bacterial small subunit ribosomal RNA", at positions 29 to 507 of the family's 1533-position model. The record is from RNAcentral.
AGUGAACGCUGGCGGUAGGCCUAACACAUGCAAGUCGAACGGCAGCACAGUAAGAGCUUGCUCUUACGGGUGGCGAGUGGCGGACGGGUGAGGAAUACAUCGGAGUCUACUUUUUCGUGGGGGAUAACGUAGGGAAACUUACGCUAAUACCGCAUACGACCUACGGGUGAAAGCAGGGGAUCUUCGGACCUUGCGCGAUUGAAUGAGCCGAUGUCGGAUUAGCUAGUUGGCGGGGUAAAGGCCCACCAAGGCGACGAUCCGUAGCUGGUCUGAGAGGAUGAUCAGCCACACUGGAACUGAGACACGGUCCAGACUCCUACGGGAGGCAGCAGUGGGGAAUAUUGGACAAUGGGCGCAAGCCUGAUCCAGCCAUACCGCGUGGGUGAAGAAGGCCUUCGGGUUGUAAAGCCCUUUUGUUGGGAAAGAAAAGCAGCAGGUUAAUACCCCGCUGUUCUGACGGUACCUAAAGAAUAAGCACCGGCUAACUUCGUG